GGGCUCGUAGCUCAGGCGGUAGAGCGCUCGCUUUGCAUGCGAGAGGUCUAGGGUUCAAAUCCCUACGGGUCCA
Non-coding RNA from Xylaria cubensis, 73 nucleotides. The record is from the annotation of a GenBank genome assembly. Lineage: Eukaryota; Fungi; Ascomycota; Sordariomycetes; Xylariales; Xylariaceae.